UCGAACGAGAAAGUGGAGCAAUCCAUGAGUACAGUGGCGACCGGGUGAGUAACACGUGACUAACCUACCUCCGAGUGGGGAAUAACUCCGGGAAACCGGAGCUAAUACCGCAUAACAUCGCAAGAUCAAAGCAGCAAUGCGCUGGGAGAGGGGGUCGCGGCUGAUUAGCUAGUUGGCGGGGUAACGGCCCACCAAGGCGAAGAUCGGUAUCCGGCCUGAGAGGGCGCACGGACACACUGGAACUGAAACACGGACCAGACCCCUACGGGAGGCAGCAGUGGGGAAUUUUGCGCAAUGGGGGAAACCCUGACGCAGCAACGCCGCGUGGAGGAUGAAGCCCUUUGGGGCGUAAACUCCUUUCGACCAAGACGAUAAUGACGGUACUGGUGGAAGAAGCACCGGCUAACUCUGUG
This 413-nucleotide ribosomal RNA is filed under the name uncultured bacterium. RNAcentral describes it as "bacterial SSU rRNA". It matches the Rfam family "Bacterial small subunit ribosomal RNA", at positions 62 to 507 of the family's 1533-position model. The record is from RNAcentral.